Molecule: ribosomal RNA, 274 nt
Filed under: uncultured bacterium
Lineage: Bacteria
Description: partial 16S ribosomal RNA
Rfam family: Bacterial small subunit ribosomal RNA
Source: RNAcentral
AUACAGAGGGUGCGAGCGUUAAUCGGAAUUACUGGGCGUAAAGCGCGCGUAGGCGGCUUAUUAAGUCAGAUGUGAAAUCCCCGGGCUCAACCUGGGAACUGCAUCUGAUACUGGUAAGCUAGAGUUUUGGAGAGGGAAGUAGAAUUUCAGGUGUAGCGGUGAAACGCAUAGAGAUCUGAAGGAAUACCAGUGGCGAAGGCGACUUCCUGGCCAAAAUCUGACGCUGAGGUGCGAAAGCGUGGGUAGCAAACGGGAUUAGAAACCCUAGUAGUCC